GUCUACGGCCACACCACCCUGAACGCGCCUGAUCUCCUCUGAUCUCAGAAGCUGAGCAGGCUCGGGCCUGGUUAGGACUUGGAUGGG
Molecule: microRNA precursor, 87 nt
Filed under: Ochotona princeps (American pika)
Lineage: Eukaryota; Metazoa; Chordata; Mammalia; Lagomorpha; Ochotonidae
Source: RNAcentral